CCCUUUUCGUGUUUUAUUAACAAAUAGUAAAAUACGAAGAGGCCGGUAAG
This 50-nucleotide non-coding RNA is filed under the name Spodoptera frugiperda (fall armyworm). Lineage: Eukaryota; Metazoa; Arthropoda; Insecta; Lepidoptera; Noctuidae. The record is from RNAcentral.